UACAGAGGGGGCAAGCGUUAUUCGGAAUUAUUGGGCGUAAAGGGCGCGUAGGCGGUUCUUCAAGUCUCUCGUGAAAUCCCUCGGCUUAACUGAGGACGUGCGGGAGAUACCGAAGGGCUUGAGUCCGGAAGAGGGUGGUGGAAUUCCCAGUGUAGCGGUGAAAUGCGUAGAUAUUGGGAGGAACACCGGUGGCGAAGGCGGCCACCUGGGCCGGAACUGACGCUGAGGCGCGAAAGCGUGGGGAGCAAACAGG
Molecule: ribosomal RNA, 253 nt
Filed under: uncultured bacterium
Lineage: Bacteria
Description: partial 16S ribosomal RNA
Rfam family: Bacterial small subunit ribosomal RNA
Source: RNAcentral